GUGACUCACAGCUAAUUCCGCCGGCAGCAGGAACCGGCUCAGCCAGCCUGGACUCCGGGCCAAUUCCUCUGGCGAUAGCAUCAAAGCCCAAAGGGAAACAAAAACAAAUCCGGGCCUGAGCAAAGCAGGGCUCUGAUUAUCUUUCCCUCCCGGCCAGGCGGUGCCAGGAGGGCGCGGGCUGCACCCAGGUUUCCUCACCGUUCUUUCCCAGCAUCCUUAGCAUACAGUAGGUGCUCAGCAAACGGCUGCAGGAUGCAGGAUCGUCUUCCGGUUGCUGUCAGCGCCAGGGCAGAGAACAGACGGGGGCACUGAGCCACAGCUCACCUCAGAAGCAGCUGGACCAGAAGAUGAACUUGGGCUGUUCGGCGCCUGCCGUGUAAAGAAUGACCAGAAUGGCCCCACCUGCACCUGUACCCCAGGACUCUCGGGAGACGGCGGGAGGUGAGCAAGCCAAGCGGGCACAGCUCCUGGAGGCCACAGAUGCUGAACACAAGUCCUGGGCUGCAGAGACAAGGACGUGGCCGGCAGAGGCCGAGGGGAUGCAGCUCUGUGUUCUCCGAACAGGGGUGCUAUGAGCCUUGGGAAGGCAUCACCGCCUCUGUUCCAGCAGGCACCUCCAGAAACCCGUCCAUCCAGACAGGGACUGCGUGGCGGGGAGCUCAUCCCUCCCACACUCCGAGCCCAGCCCAGAAACUGGGUGAGCAGGGAGCUUGCACUGUGCACCCAGGACUGAGUUUGUUUUGUGUGUGGGACACACCUGGCACACCCAAGCCCGAAGGUGGCCUCCCACUCACCAGCCAGGAGCCCCAGUGGCCAGCGUGCUGGGGAACAGAGCCAAAGUCAGGCGGCCUUUCUCCGGGGGUUCUGUGACCCGGCCGGCCAAUGGGAACAAUACCUGGGAGGAAAAGAAAACCGGGAAGCACCCAGAAGCCACCUACAUGCCUGAUAAAUGAUGGCAGGGCGGGGCAGCCUCACGUGAUCUGGGAGACUGCAGGAGCAGGGUCAUCCCACGCUGAAAGUGACAGAGCAACACACAGACCACCCACUCUGCGCAAGUGGGGCGGCUUCAAGUCUGGAAGGCUGUCGCAUCCCGAGUCCCGGGUCCCAAGGAGGCGGCUCUGGCAACGUCACUUCCAUCUCUGUGCAUUUCCUGCAAUGCGCAUGCUGCACUGUGAUCAGAGGAGCGCGUUCUGCCUUGGUGCCUGGCGGUCAGGGCCCUAUGACAACGGUGUCCCCAAAGGACAGGCCGCUGCACUGUUUUUGGAUCCAGCAGAUCCAAGACCUGUGGCCCCACCUGGGGCCCCCCCCGGAAGCCAACAUUCACUCCACAAGCCUGUUUUGGCACCAUCUGGAAUCCUCAGAGGCUCCAUGUGUCCCCAGUGCUGCCCAGGACCACGGCUCCUACCAGGCAGGCAGCGGAGGACGCCCUGCUGGCACCGAGCGGCAUGAUGGCCCUGGAGGGAC
RNAcentral lists this long non-coding RNA (1464 nucleotides) under Heterocephalus glaber (naked mole-rat). RNAcentral describes it as "lncRNA (ENSHGLG00000045899.1)". The record is from RNAcentral. Lineage: Eukaryota; Metazoa; Chordata; Mammalia; Rodentia; Bathyergidae.